Molecule: long non-coding RNA, 2228 nt
Filed under: Homo sapiens (human)
Lineage: Eukaryota; Metazoa; Chordata; Mammalia; Primates; Hominidae
Description: non-protein coding lnc-ZCCHC7-2:22
Source: RNAcentral
CUCUCCUCCCGGGUCUGCGCGGACGCGGCCUCCUUACCUCAUUUGUCCUCGCCCCUCCCCGUCCCUCUACGCGUUUUGGUCCCUGUUUGGUGCUUUCUGUUUGCAGCUACGGCAGUGAGUAUGUAUGUGACGGACCCCGAGUCACCCGCGGCCUGGGACCCCUGCCUACCCUCCGUCUCGCCAGCCGAGCUGUGGAACUAGCGCGUGCCCCCUCGCCGACCUCGGCGUCUCCGGUCCGCCCCUCACUUGUGGUGGGGCGCAGCUCCUGGUCCCUCAGCUGCGCGCCGCCCCACGCGGCCGGGCUGCGGGUCUAGGGGGUCCGCAUCUCCCUGGCUUUCCAAGGGCUAAGGUCGUGAUUCUAGGGCGGCUGGGCGUCCAGGGCCUCGGUGGGGGUGGCGUGUCUGCCCUUUUUAUCUCCCCGCAAGGCCCCCAGUCUUCUAGGGAAGCCAGUCAGUGAAGCGCGGAGGUCCGGGCGCGCCGAGAGAGAGUCCAGUCUUUGAGGACCGAGUAGUCCUGGGCCACCUCCCGCCUCUGCUGUCAGAAGCAGCAGCUGCCGCCGUGGAAUCCAAAAUUUCGGGAGCUGUGACCCUUUCCUCAUGUAAAACGAGUAGUCUUGGACGAUCUGGGCAUAGGAACCAAUCAGAAACAAUCGCUUCAGCAAUCAAGACCAUUGUUCAUCAUGGAGGAACCCAUGGAUACCUCUGAGCCUCUAUCUGCAUUACCAUUCACUGGGCAGCAGUCUUUUGAGCCAAGUGGCAAAUUUGGACAGUAUCCAUCGAUGCAGAUGAACCACAUCCAGGCACUGGGGAAGUGGAGGACAUAGAACAGCUCAAUCAGUGUUUGAUCCAACACUUCCAUCUCAUUAAGACAAGUUUGAUUUUUCUUUGCUUUUUAUUUCAUGGAAUACAUGAGAAUCUCUUAACUGUUGGAGUUUCCAAGGAGGCAUACCUCAUGACUUCAGUUAAUGGAAAGAACAAAACUAAAAUGCUGUAUGGCCAAAGCCACAAAGGGAAGGAUCCACAAUUUACAUUCUUGGAGCUAUCAUCUGUACUGUACUGUUGUGAUCUACUGAUUGGCAUUGGCAUAGUAGUAGGGGUCAAGUGACAGAAUCCGUGCCAGCAGUCUCCAGGUUCAGAAGCAAUUCAAGACCCUGAUGAUAGCUCUCCAGCAACCAACACAUGGUGAUUGUGCCAACUUGUUGCUCAGUUAUAAUGCAGGGCCAGUGAUUGGUUUAAGUGAAGACCAUGGUUGAGAUCAUUUGUCUUUGGUCUAAUAGAAUUUGAGUCUAGUAGAAUUUGAGUCUCCAGGGAAAGAGCUACUUGACCAAAUUAAACUAGUAGCAGGUAGAGCAUGAAUGACAGCAUAUUAUACCAUCAAGAUGUUCUUAGAGCAGUGUAUGGAUGGAUCGAUUGUACUGCCAUCAGUUGUGACUGACGUUGUAUUCAAGGAGAAAGAGAAACUUGUUUAGAAAGCACUUUGAAAGUUUUUUGAGUACGGGGGUGCCCUGUAUCACCCCGUUAUGGUUGAACUUUCUCCUUCAAAAUUACCAGACUUGGCAGCAGUGGCAAAUUAUUGGGCUAAAAGACUUAAUCAGACAUAUUCUGGGUUCAAGGCUCCUAAUAUAAUACCUGGUGCAAACAUUAUACUUCCACUCAUUCAGAUGGUUGCAUCCUGCCAGGCAUCCAGUGGGACUGGGAAUAUGGACACUUGAACAUUAAACAUCCUGAAGAAUUUUGGAAUGACAGGUUACAAGUGAACAUAAUCAGUUCUCUAUAUUAAAAAAAAAAAAAGAUUUGGGCAUAGAUUGGGCUCACAUAAUCUUUAGAGAGAUUUUUUCAUUUUUGUGAAAGUACAGAAAUUCUUAACUGCUUAUGAAAUGCUGAUUGUUAAACAGCAUCCACAGCUAUUUUGUGUUGUUUCCCUGACCCCACCCUGAAGAAAAGAAAAAUUAUGGCAUAUUGAAAACAGCAGUAUGAUGUAAGAGAAAAGAUCACAAAUUCCUUGAGGGUGGGUCUUUUCCAUACUCAUAAGCCUAUUUAUAAUAUUCAGAGUAAUUUAUUGACACAUAUUAAUAUUCCCUCCUAUCCCAUUAAUUGCCAAAUCAUCAAACAUUUAUUGAGCAUCUCCUCUAUGUAGGGUAUAAGUAAUGCUGAGGUAGUACUCGUGACUUACAGUGGUAAAAGACUUAAGUUUUAGGCCGAGAGCAGUGGCUCACGCCUGUAAUCCCA